Molecule: long non-coding RNA, 126 nt
Organism: Telopea speciosissima
Lineage: Eukaryota; Viridiplantae; Streptophyta; Magnoliopsida; Proteales; Proteaceae
Exons: 3
Source: RefSeq, a predicted model, not a curated record
UGUCAAGAAAUUCUUAUUGCGACUUUUAUCUGAUUUCUGUAUAAUAAAGAACCAAGGCCAAUUUGCUGUGCAGUUGUAUCUUGGCCUACUUUGACAAUCUAUCUGUAUCAUAACUCAGUUCAUAGU